CAAGGAUGUGGAGGGAGUUGGGGAGCCGGGAGGGUAGGUAAUGUCUUAAAACCAUUCUCAGUUCGGACUGUAGGCUGCAACUCGCCUACACGAAGUCGGAAUCGCUAGUAAUCGCGGAUCAGCAUGCCACGGUGAAUACGUUCCCGGGCCUUGUACACACCGCCCGUCUUCACCAUGAGAGUUUGUAACACCCAAAGCCGGUGGGGUAACCUUUA
This 215-nucleotide ribosomal RNA is filed under the name Pediococcus acidilactici. Its description in RNAcentral is "partial 16S ribosomal RNA". It matches the Rfam family "Bacterial small subunit ribosomal RNA", at positions 1228 to 1444 of the family's 1533-position model. Lineage: Bacteria; Bacillati; Bacillota; Bacilli; Lactobacillales; Lactobacillaceae. The record is from RNAcentral.